GACGAACGCUGGCGGCGUGCUUAACACGUGCAAGUCGAGCGGUAAGGCCCUUUCGGGGUACGACGAGCGGCGAACGGGUGAGUAACACGUGGGUGACCUGCCCUCAGCUCUGGGAUAAGCCUGGGAAACCGGGUCUAAUACCGGAUAUGACUCCAUGACGCAUGUUGUGGGGUGGAAAGCCUUGUGCGGCUGAGGAUGGGCCCGCGGCCUAUCAGCUUGUUGGUGGGGUGANGGCCUACCAAGGCGACGACGGGUAGCCGGCCUGAGAGGGCGACCGGCCACACUGGGACUGAGACACGGCCCAGACUCCUACGGGAGGCAGCAGUGGGGAAUCUUGCGCAAUGGGCGAAAGCCUGACGCAGCGACGCCGCGUGAGGGA
Molecule: ribosomal RNA, 379 nt
Filed under: uncultured bacterium
Lineage: Bacteria
Description: bacterial SSU rRNA
Rfam family: Bacterial small subunit ribosomal RNA
Source: RNAcentral